Molecule: ribosomal RNA, 492 nt
Filed under: uncultured bacterium
Lineage: Bacteria
Description: partial 16S ribosomal RNA
Rfam family: Bacterial small subunit ribosomal RNA
Source: RNAcentral
AGUGAACGCUGGCGGUAGGCCUAACACAUGCAAGUCGAACGGCAGCACAGUAAGAGUUUGCUCUUACGGGUGGCGAGUGGCGGACGGGUGAGGAAUACAUCGGAAUCUACUUUUUCGUGGGGGAUAACGUAGGGAAACUUACGCUACUACCGCAUACGACCUACGGGUGAAAGCAGGGGAUCCUCGCACCUUGCGCGAUUGAAUGAGCCGAUGUCGGAUUAGCUAGUUGGCGGGGUAAAGGCCCACCAAGGCGACGAUACGUAGCUGGUCUGAGAGGAUGAUCAGCCACACUGGAACUGAGACACGGUCCAGACUCCUACGGGAGGCAGCAGUGGGGAAUAUUCGACAAUGGGCGCAAGCCUGAUCCAGCCAUACCGCGUGAGUGAAGAAGGCCUUCGGGUUGUAAAGCCCUUUUAUUGGGAAAGAAAAGCAGCAGAUUAAUACCCCGCUGUUCUGACGGUACCCAAAGAAUAAGCACCGGCUAACUUCGUG